This 183-nucleotide ribosomal RNA is filed under the name Brevibacterium casei. RNAcentral's name for it is "partial 16S ribosomal RNA". It matches the Rfam family "Bacterial small subunit ribosomal RNA", at positions 111 to 295 of the family's 1533-position model. The record is from RNAcentral. Lineage: Bacteria; Bacillati; Actinomycetota; Actinomycetes; Micrococcales; Brevibacteriaceae.
UAACACGUGAGUAACCUGCCCCUGACUUCGGGAUAAGCCCGGGAAACUGGGUCUAAUACCGGAUACGACUGCCGGACGCAUGUCUGGUGGUGGAAAGUUUUUUCGGUUGGGGAUGGGCUCGCGGCCUAUCAGUUUGUUGGUGAGGUAAUGGCUCACCAAGACGACGACGGGUAGCCGGCCUGA